GCUUGAGAAGCUCUAUUGGUGGAGCAUGAUAUUGAAGCUAUCGUGGUGUAAGUUCAAGUCUUACCUCGAGCA
This 72-nucleotide transfer RNA is filed under the name Spathularia flavida. RNAcentral describes it as "tRNA-Phe". It matches the Rfam family "tRNA". From Rfam's summary of the family: Transfer RNA (tRNA) molecules are approximately 80 nucleotides in length. Their secondary structure includes four short double-helical elements and three loops (D, anti-codon, and T loops). The record is from RNAcentral. Lineage: Eukaryota; Fungi; Ascomycota; Leotiomycetes; Rhytismatales; Cudoniaceae.